Molecule: long non-coding RNA, 389 nt
Filed under: Physcomitrium patens
Lineage: Eukaryota; Viridiplantae; Streptophyta; Bryopsida; Funariales; Funariaceae
Description: long non-coding RNA (PPAT_LNC010741)
Source: RNAcentral
AUCCUAACUCUAAUAGAAUACUAACUAAACUCUAAUUAGACCAUAACAAUGCUAAAUAAGCUUUAAUCAAAUUCAAAGAAACUUCAAAGGAAUUAUAAAGAAAUAAUAAGAAAUCUUAAAGAAAUAUUAAAAUAAUCAAAAAUAUAUUUCAAAUACAUCUCAAUUCAAUCUUAAUUUAAUUCUAGUUAAAAUCCUAUUGGACUUCAUUCAAACUUUAGGCCAAAAACUAACUAAAUCUUGAAUCCUAAAUAACUCAAAUAAAACCUUAAAUUCUAAAUCAAAUCCUAACCAAAUCUUCAAUCCUAAAUCAAAUCCUAACCAAAUCCUAAUCAAAUCCUAAAUCCUAAAUCAAAUCCUAACCAAAUCCUAAAUCAAAUCCUAAAUCCUAA